This 322-nucleotide unclassified non-coding RNA is filed under the name Hevea brasiliensis (rubber tree). The record is from RNAcentral. Lineage: Eukaryota; Viridiplantae; Streptophyta; Magnoliopsida; Malpighiales; Euphorbiaceae.
AAAAUAAACAAUAUACAUAUGGAAUAUCCUGAGGUCUCGCUCCUAAGAGGAAGCAGAAUCCUCCGAAACCAAGAACUCCGAGCAGGUGCGUAACCUUGUUAAUAAAUCUUUCGUGUUCUUCAGCCUGCUUAGCGAUCUUAACCGCCUGUUUGGAUAGAAUCUCUUUCGUCUGAACGGCUUGUUUCGACAACAUCUCUUUCGUUUGCGCCAUUUUCUUGGAUCGGUCCUUCAGCGCCUGCCUGACCUGUUGAUGCGAGUCUCCAUCGGUAUCCUCCAUGUGAUCUUCAUUCUGCGCCAUUUUUGCUACCAUACAACACGGAUU